Molecule: long non-coding RNA, 2405 nt
Organism: Lolium rigidum
Lineage: Eukaryota; Viridiplantae; Streptophyta; Magnoliopsida; Poales; Poaceae
Exons: 5
Source: RefSeq, a predicted model, not a curated record
GGCUGAGCCCAAUUUCGCGUCUUCAUCCUCCACUCCCCUUCCUUCUCCUUCCCCUCCCCAGUUCCCCACUACCAUUAGCAAACCCAGAGACACUGCCUCAGAGAGAUCUCCCACUCGGCCCCCUCGUCGCCGUCGAGCCCUCUCCGCCCCUUCGACGGCAGCGAGCAGCAGCUACUUCCCGCGAUGGCCACCUCCGACUUCCUCUUCGACCUGCACAACCGCCGAGUGGAGUUUGCCAGGGUGUGGGGGGAUUUGUCGUUCUUUCCACGUGCUCCAGAGGCCCAGAACCGCUUCACUUCAUCUCCCGCUGCUUGGGUUUAUGUUGUCUGGAUACAAGCGGCAUCCCAUGUGUGCAUAUGAUGCUGAUAUAUAGAGGCUCUCAUUUACCAUUAAAAGUUUAAAACAGCCAAAGGAUUCUAUGGAAGGGUCAUUGCCUCCUGGUUGGCUUCCGCCCUAUCAUCAUCAGCCGGACAAGGGAUGCAAAUUUAUUCUUAGAUUCAAUUUCACGGUUUGCAGCUACGCAGUGAGUCAUAGAAAAACAAAUUAACUACAUUUAUAAGUUUGAUAAAUAUUGAUAUGUGAUAUUUGUUCUCUGUUGGGUUUUAAUGACUUGUGAAUUAUGAUACGUACAACUCAUGAAUAUGAUAAACAUCAUCUCUUGAUCAUGUAUUUCAGUCAGUUUCAAAUCUUAAUCCAAAAUAAAUUUGCACAGUGAAGCGCAAAUUCCUUAAGUUGUCUUUAGUUCCUUUGGUUACCAUGUCAUGUUAGAUUAGUUUCUGAGUGCUUUUUUAUGGUACCUUGAAUUAUUGUUGCAGUUGUUUGUACCAUGAUACUUGCUGAGAUUACCUAUGAGGAUAUAACUAUCGUAAGGUGAAAUUAAUUUCCAUGAAUCUAAAGAGCUAUCAUAUGGGCCGACAUAUUCUACUUCAAGGAAACAACAAAGUACUCACAUUAUUCACUUUAUUGUCAUGCAACUACUCCUGGUUUAUCUCUUACUGAAUGCAAAGAUGACCAUAAGAACCCGGCUUCUUCUGUAGCUACGUUCAAGCAUGGAGCAGACUAGGACGUAUGUUGAACUUUGUGCUGCUUACUUUUAGUGUAGUGGUUUCAUGAACUAUGGUUUUGCAUGAACUGGGUGCGGAGAGUUAGAUAGUGAAGAAUUGUUGUGCAUCUACUACCUUCUGCUUGAUGCAUCAUUUUACUAGUAGUUAAGUUUAGUAUCAACAUACAGUGAAUUGGCAGGUUAACAAACUAGUUCCUGACAUGUUAAUUGAACUGGAACUGUUUUAUGUCAUCUCUAGCUAAUUAUACCCUUUCCAGGCUCUAGUUUGUUAACUCCGUUCCAUUGAUUUUUUAUUGCAGCCUUCAGACCUGGAGAAGGCUCAGCUUGGCCUUUUUUCCUGUAUCUAAUGAGCCCUUCUCUCUUUCUCCCCCCUUCACCUUGGAUCUAGCCUUUUCUAUUCACAAAUGAUCUGCUACUACUAUUGUUGGUGCCAUAUAUGUGGUAUGAGAGCUGGGAAAACACCAAAACAUUCUAUCUUCAAACGAAUUUUCAGCCAAGUGUAUGUUCCUAAUACAAAUGGGUCUCAAGAUAGAAAGGAACGGUACACGGUGCAUAGGUAGAAUUGACCAAUGAUUUUGUAACUAUACAGCAUGUCCUGUUUAUCUAAUCUAUUAAAUUUUAUUUUGAAUCAAAGUAAAUAUGUCAUCCUUCUGUGUUAGCACGAAAGACUGACAAGCAUGUUUCAGUAAGAAAAAACAGUUUCUCUGGGUACUGGAGCAGUUGUACCGACAAAUAGUCUUCUUCAUGAUCUUUGAUGGCUUGAAGGGUCAGUAUAUAUUUGGUUACCUUUGGUGCUUGUUUAUAGUGCUGUUUUCUUCCUUUAUUCUGUGGCAUCAUGCUAUACUGCUUAGCGUGCGCUCUUGACUUGUUCAUCUUGAUUUGCAAUUGUCGGAUCUUCUGUCAUCUGGUGCAUUAGCUUUGCUCUAUUUUCUAUGUAUUUCUACAUGCAAUUCUGUUUUUGUUCAGUUGCCACCUCAAGCACAAAAGAUUGCUCAAGUUGAUUCUCUGGAGGGCAACUGCUGAUGCUAGAAAGGCAGAAACUGCAACAUGGUUAUCAUUUGGAAUAACAGCUCGAUCGCAUAAACAGGACUCUCCUGGCAUGGUUCACAAGCUUCGGGGUUGCGAGCCAAUGAAUGGACCACAAAACAUAGUUCCUGAUGCGGCAGAAAACAUCCUUUUAGUUUCAGUUCCUUGGAUACUAGUACAAUGUCUCUUCUCCUACGAGCAUGUAAUUAAUGGUUGUCUAUCGAGUUUCUAACAUGGAAUUAGCGGGCGAUUGUAAUAUACUUAUAUACAGAAGUGUCCAAUCGAUGUGAUGUCGCGUCACAACCUUUCACGAGAA